RNAcentral lists this ribosomal RNA (253 nucleotides) under uncultured bacterium. RNAcentral's name for it is "partial 16S ribosomal RNA". It matches the Rfam family "Bacterial small subunit ribosomal RNA", at positions 524 to 776 of the family's 1533-position model. The record is from RNAcentral.
UACGGAGGGUGCAAGCGUUAUCCGGAUUCACUGGGUUUAAAGGGUGCGUAGGCGGGCAGGUAAGUCAGUGGUGAAAUCCCCGAGCUUAACUUGGGAACUGCCGUUGAUACUAUCUGUCUUGAAUACUGUGGAGGUAAGCGGAAUAUGUCAUGUAGCGGUGAAAUGCUUAGAUAUGACAUAGAACACCUAUUGCGAAGGCAGCUUGCUACACAGUUAUUGACGCUGAGGCACGAAAGCGUGGGGAUCAAACAGG